CAGAACGAACGUUAGCGGCGCGCCUAACACAUGCAAGUCGAGCGAGAAGGGGCAACCCUGUAAAGCGGCGCACGGGUGAGUAACACGUAGGUAAUCUACCUCGAGGUGGUGGAUAACCUUCCGAAAGGAGGGCUAAUACAGCAUGGGACCACGUCUUCGAAAGAGGAUGAGGUAAAAGCGGGCCUCUAUACAUAAGCUCGCGCCACGAGAUGAGCCUGCGGCCCAUCAUGGUAGUUGGUAGGGUAACGGCCUACCAAGCCGAAGACGGGUAGCUGGUCUGAGAGGAUGAUCAGCCACACUGGAACUGAGACACGGUCCAGACUCCUACGGGAGGCAGCAGUGGGGAAUCUUGCGCAAUGGGCGAAAGCCUGACGCAGCGACGCCGCGUGAGUGAUGAAGGCCUUCGGGUUGUAAAGCUCUGUGGAGGGGGACGAAUAAGGGUUGGCUAACAUCCAGCUCGAUGACGGUACCCCCUUUAGCAAGCACCGGCUAACUCUGUGCCAGC
This 505-nucleotide ribosomal RNA is filed under the name uncultured bacterium. RNAcentral describes it as "bacterial SSU rRNA". It matches the Rfam family "Bacterial small subunit ribosomal RNA", at positions 25 to 512 of the family's 1533-position model. The record is from RNAcentral.